Long non-coding RNA from Patiria miniata (bat star), 317 nucleotides. RefSeq lists it as uncharacterized. Lineage: Eukaryota; Metazoa; Echinodermata; Asteroidea; Valvatida; Asterinidae. The record is from RefSeq and is a predicted model, not a curated record. The transcript has 2 exons.
GGAUGACCUGCUUACUGGGCUACCCAUUACUGAUCUUGAGAACACAUGUUGUGUUGAACUUGCUGUCUCACCAAAGCCACUUGCCCACAGACCCAUCCCAAGCGGGAUCCUUGAAUGGUGCUUUCCAUGACUGAAGAACCCUUGAUCAGCAAGGCAUGCCAAGGUAUUGUAAAGAGAGAGAGGGAAUAGAGUUGAUGGAGUGAUAGUUGUUUGAUUGAAACAGGCAUGGUUCUACAUUGGGCGGUAAACUUAGUAUCGGGAAUAAUAACAAUAAUUUGACUGAUUUAUUGUUGUUAUGUAGUUUCUAAAAGUAAUUG